Long non-coding RNA from Salvia splendens (bonfire salvia), 498 nucleotides. RefSeq lists it as uncharacterized. The record is from RefSeq and is a predicted model, not a curated record. NCBI's taxonomy places the organism in Eukaryota, Viridiplantae, Streptophyta, Magnoliopsida, Lamiales, Lamiaceae. The transcript has 2 exons.
GCAACAACAAAAAAAACGUUGAUGUAUAUGUAAUACUAACUUUUUUGUUCAAUCUGCAGAAGAACAGGAACAUGAAUUACAGGUCAAGAAAAAAGAUACCAAAAGAUAGUGAAGCAGAUUCAUUCUUAGAUUUCACAUAAAGAGGCAGCCAAAAAGCAAAAGCGCGAACAGAAACUACAAUUAGCAGAAAAAGAACAAAACUAAAGGAGAAGCGAUUCACCUAAAAUGUGUAGUUCUUCGAAUCACGAACUGCUGGUAAUUUGAAGACAGAGAAAGAGCAAUGCAGGAAGGUUGAAUUCUACUAACAUCCAGCAACAGUAAAAACGACGGCGCUGCGAUGGUGGCGAUAUACGCGCAGGAAUUAAGAAGCUGAGUUCAUUCUUCCUUCCUCCAUCACAGAUUCAGAGUGCAGCACCACUGUUUACUUCUUUCUGCUUCCAACAACACACACAUUGUAGAGAGAGAAUAUAAUAUUAUCAAAAGCGACGAGUUUUAAUA